GACGAACGCUGGCGGCGUGCCUAACACAUGCAAGUCGAGCGGAGAUACAUCGACGGAAGGAUUCGUCCGGAAGAUGGUGUAUUUUAGCGGCGGACGGGUGAGUAACGCGUGGGCAAUCUGCCCUCUGCACAGGGAUAACUUAGAGAAAUCUGAACUAAUACCUGAUAAGCUUCCGAGGUGGCAUCGCUUUGGGAGAAAAGAUUUAUCGGCAGAGGAGGAGCCCGCGGCUGAUUAGCUAGUUGGUGGGGUAACGGCCUACCAAGGCGACGAUCAGUAGCCGGCCUGGGAGGGUGAACGACCACAUUGGGACUGAGACACGGCCCAGACUCCUACGGGAGGCAGCAGUGGGGAAUAUUGGGCAAUGGGGGAAACCCUGACCCAGCGACGCCGCGUGAGUGAAGACGGCCUUCGGGUUGUAAAGCUCUGUUGCAGAGGACGAUAAUGACGGUACUCUGUGAGGAAGCCACGGCUAACUACGUGCCAGCCGCCGCCGUAAAAC
This 499-nucleotide ribosomal RNA is filed under the name uncultured bacterium. RNAcentral's name for it is "bacterial SSU rRNA". It matches the Rfam family "Bacterial small subunit ribosomal RNA", at positions 28 to 526 of the family's 1533-position model. The record is from RNAcentral.